AUCAAUUGCUCUUUGCUUCAGGUGACCAGACUUUAAGAGUUUGGGAUGUGAAAGCCCCAGGAGUCAAACUUGUGAUACCUGCCCACCAGGCUGAGAUCUUGAGCUGUGACUGGUGCAAAUAUGACGAGAACUUGCUGGUAACUGGUGCAGUCGACUGUAGCUUGAAAGGCUGGGAUUUGCGGAACAUCCGGCAGCCAGUGUUCAUCUUGCUUGGUCAUACCUACGCCAUCAGAAGAGUAAAAUUUUCACCAUUCCAUGCAACUUUAUUGGCCUCUUGCUCCUAUGAUUUUACUGUGAG
Long non-coding RNA from Calidris pugnax (ruff), 298 nucleotides. RefSeq lists it as uncharacterized. The record is from RefSeq and is a predicted model, not a curated record. The transcript is spliced from 3 exons. NCBI's taxonomy places the organism in Eukaryota, Metazoa, Chordata, Aves, Charadriiformes, Scolopacidae.